This 199-nucleotide ribosomal RNA is filed under the name uncultured bacterium. RNAcentral describes it as "partial 16S ribosomal RNA". It matches the Rfam family "Bacterial small subunit ribosomal RNA", at positions 328 to 539 of the family's 1533-position model. The record is from RNAcentral.
ACGCUCGACACCUACGGGAGGCAGCAGUGGGGAAUAUUGCACAAUGGGGGAAACCCUGAUGCAGCGACGCCGCGUGAGUGAAGAAGUAAUUCGUUAUAGUAAAGCUCUAUCAGCAGGGAAGAAAGUGACGGUACCUGAGUAAGAAGCCCCGGCUAACUACGUGCCAACAGCCGCGGUAAUCUGAGCGGGCUGGCAAGGC